This 377-nucleotide ribosomal RNA is filed under the name uncultured eukaryote. Its description in RNAcentral is "partial 18S ribosomal RNA". It matches the Rfam family "Eukaryotic small subunit ribosomal RNA", at positions 592 to 976 of the family's 1831-position model. The record is from RNAcentral.
CAAUAGCGUAUAUUUAAGUUGCUGCAGUUAAAAAGCUCGUAGUUGGAUUUCGGGUGGGAAUGGCCGGUCCGCCGUUUCGGUGUGCACUUGCUACGCCCACCUUGCUGCCGGGGACGUGCUCUUGAGUUCACGCUCGGGACACGGAGUCGGCGAGGUUACUUUGAGUAAAUUAGAGUGUUCAAAGCAGGCCUACGCUCUGAAUACAUUAGCAUGGAAUAACACGAUAGGACUCUGGCCUAUCUUGUUGGUCUGUAGGACCGGAGUAAUGAUUAAGAGGGACAGUCGGGGGCAUUCGUAUUUCAUUGUCAGAGGUGAAAUUCUUGGAUUUAUGGAAGACGAACAUCUGCGAAAGCAUUUGCCAAGGAUGUUUUCAUUAA